This is a non-coding RNA of Misgurnus anguillicaudatus (oriental weatherfish), 1963 nucleotides long. The record is from RefSeq and is a predicted model, not a curated record. Lineage: Eukaryota; Metazoa; Chordata; Actinopteri; Cypriniformes; Cobitidae.
UUUGCUUCAUUUGAAUCCUAUCCAUGAGUAUGUUUCACUUUCUUAUAGCACUAUCCCUAAUUUCAUAGUCCAAUAUGAGUCAACAUUUUUGCCACAUUUUUAACUCAUUUUUAAGUGUGAAAGACAAGGUAAGUCACUUAAAUUGACUUUAUUUGAAAAUGGGGGAAAAUACUUCCUCCAAAACACACAAACACAAAAAAUCAGGAAUGUGAAUAAUGUCCUGUUUAAAUAGGGCAGAGAAGAUUCUGAUUGGCUGAAGGGGCUGUCAGCACUGUGUUUUGAAGCUUGUGGUCAGAUUAGAUGAGAGAAUAGGAGAAUCGUGGUACUCAAAAGAGGUACUAAGCUAGCAGGAAGGACUAACUUUAAGUCUUUAGAUAAGCCUCUGCCAUGACACUCACUGAGAUUAUAUUUAUUUUGGCUGGAACUUGCACUGUCAUGCUUUUUGGAGUGAAACUAAUAUGUCUUGUCAUGGUGCUUGCCCCGAAGAUCUGCUAUCCUCUUCCCGAGUCUUUUAUGACCUCUCUGGGAAAAUGGGCAGUGAUCACUGGAGGUUCAGAUGGAAUAGGAAGAGCAUAUGCACAAGAGCUUUCAAAAUAUGGUAUGAAUGUGGUCAUCAUCAGCAGAAAUCAAGAGAAGCUUGACAGAGCAGCCAGGACUAUAGAACUUGCUACAGGAGUGCAGGUCAAAGUAAUAGCUGCUGACUUCACCAAAGAUAAUAUAUACGGACACAUUAUGGAAUGCAUAGAGGGGCUGGAUAUUGGUAUUUUAGUGAAUAAUGUUGGCAUUCUGCCCAGCCAAAUACCUUGCAGGCUGCUUGAAACAGCAGAUUUGGAAGAGAGAAUGUAUGAUGUUAUAAACUGCAAUGUGAAAGCUAUGGUUAAGAUGUGCAAUAUUGUGCUACCAGGAAUGCAGGAAAGAGGAAGGGGAGCCGUUUUGAAUGUGUCUUCUGGCAUAGCCAAAAUACCCUGUCCUCUUUACACCUUGUAUGCGGCAUCUAAGGUUUUCGUUGAGAGAUUUUCACAGGGUCUUCAAGCAGAAUAUAGAUCCAAGGGAAUUAUCAUUCAGUCUCCUUUCUCAGACAGUGGCUCCAUUCGGGGUUUCAACAUCAAUGACAUUUCAUCAAAAGCCAGAUUUGGUCACAUUUUCAGCUGAGGAUUUUGUGAGGAGCUCCCUAAAGUAUCUGAGGGCUGGUGACCAAACAUACGGAAGCAUCACUCAUACAAUAUUGGGCUGGAUUAUGCAGGCCAUUCCCACAUGGGUCCUACGGAGUGAAGCGUUCCAGGAUAACUUUGAGGAAUAUGUGAAGGAGCGGAUUAGAAGAUGAACGUUUAUGUUCUCUCUCUCUCUUUAUAUAUAUAUAUAUACCUUACACUAUUGUGUUGUUUGCACUAAUUGACAAUAGCUGCAUCCACUUCAUGGCUUUUAAAAAUGUUAUUUAGCUAUGCAGUUGUGUAGUAUGAAUACAUUUCUUUACAUGUAAUUAUAAAUGUUUAAAAGCUGACAGCUCCUCUUCACGGCCACUUUGUUCUCAUGGGGAGAUGACAAAAUGAGAAGUUUAUCCACGGGCCUCCAAAAUAUGUUGUAUCAGUGCUGAUAAUGUAAAGUAUUUAUCCUUAAAAUGAUAUCAUAUCAUAUCAGUAGAGAGACAAGACCUUGUUAACAUAACAGACAGUUAGUCUCCCAAAAGGCCAUACAGAGGCAAGAAGAGAAAAUAAGAGAUGUGACCUUGUUAUUUCCUCAAUUGACACCGAUCAGACUGUUGAAAAGUUUACAUACCCAUUGCUCGUAAUGUAUUGUGUUGCCUUCUUGAGCAUCACUGAAUGUUUGUAUCUUUUGUAAUAAUUCUGUAUGAUUUUCUCAAAUGUCCUCGGUGUAUGAAGAUGAAUGUCAACAUUAUAUAGUCAAGUCACUGUUGGAAAGCAAUUAAAUAUACAGAAGAUGCUGGAAAAGCAAAUAAUGUGAA